GUGAGGAAUAUUGGUCAAUGGGCGAGAGCCUGAACCAGCCAAGUCGCGUGAAGGAAGAAGGAUCUAUGGUUCGUAAACUUCUUUUGCAGGGGAAUAAAGUGCGGGACGUGUCCUGUUUUGUAUGUACCCUGAGAAUAAGGAUCGUCUAACUCCGUGCCAGCAGCCGCGGUAAUACGGAGGAUCCGAGCGUUAUCCGGAUUUAUUGGGUUUAAAGGGUGCGUAGGUGGUUUGAUAAGUCAGCGGUGAAAGUUUGCAGCUUAACUGUAAAAAUGCCGUUGAAACUGUCGGACUUGAGUGUAAAUGAGGUAGGCGGAAUGCGUGGUGUAGCGGUGAAAUGCAUAGAUAUCACGCAGAACUCCGAUUGCGAAGGCAGCUUACUAAGCUACAACUGACACUGAAGCACGAAAGCGUGGGGAUCAAACAGGAUUAGAAACCCGAGUAGUCC
This 445-nucleotide ribosomal RNA is filed under the name uncultured bacterium. RNAcentral's name for it is "partial 16S ribosomal RNA". It matches the Rfam family "Bacterial small subunit ribosomal RNA", at positions 354 to 796 of the family's 1533-position model. The record is from RNAcentral.